AUGAAAGGUGCGGUGGGCAGAAUCCACACUCUGCCCACACCCCCUAGGGUCCCUUUUCCAUUCCCCCUGGUUGUAUGCUUUCCCUCCCAACAGCCAGCACCACCCUCAGGCCCAGAUUCACCUGCCUGUGCAUUUGGUAAACCAGUCACCCUGGAAAGAAUUCACCCCCCCGGCAGCAGCCCCUAACUAGUGACUGGCAGAUAGUCUACCUGCCUCAGCUCCUUUGCACCCGAUGAAGACAACGCCAAGGUACCUCACAAGGGAAGAGACCCAACCUGGCCCAUCACUGUAACCCACUGCUUAGAACAGUGUCUGCACACUCUUGGCGACCAGGAAUAAUGGCCACUAAGACACUGGGGACUCAGUAGGUGGGCAGUUUGGCCCAGGGAUGAGGAAUGUCAUUUCCAGCAGUCAAGGU
Molecule: long non-coding RNA, 418 nt
Organism: Mustela lutreola (European mink)
Lineage: Eukaryota; Metazoa; Chordata; Mammalia; Carnivora; Mustelidae
Exons: 3
Source: RefSeq, a predicted model, not a curated record